GUGAACGCUGGCGGCGUGCCUAAUACAUGCCAGUCGAGCGAACGGACGAGAAGCUUGCUUCUCUGAUGUUAGCGGCGGACGGGUGAGUAACACGUGGAUAACCUACCUAUAAGACUGGGAUAACUUCGGGAAACCGGAGCUAAUACCGGAUAAUAUUUUGAACCGCAUGGUUCAAAAGUGAAAGACGGUCUUGCUGUCACUUAUAGAUGGAUCCGCGCUGCAUUAGCUAGUUGGUAAGGUAACGGCUUACCAAGGCAACGAUGCAUAGCCGACCUGAGAGGGUGAUCGGCCACACUGGAACUGAGACACGGUCCAGACUCCUACGGGAGGCAGCAGUAGGGAAUCUUCCGCAAUGGGCGAAAGCCUGACGGAGCAACGCCGCGUGAGUGAUGAAGGUCUUCGGAUCGUAAAACUCUGUUAUUAGGGAAGAACAUAUGUGUAAGUAACUGUGCACAUCUUGACGGUACCUAAUCAGAAAGCCACGGCUAACUACGUG
RNAcentral lists this ribosomal RNA (496 nucleotides) under uncultured bacterium. RNAcentral describes it as "partial 16S ribosomal RNA". It matches the Rfam family "Bacterial small subunit ribosomal RNA", at positions 29 to 507 of the family's 1533-position model. The record is from RNAcentral.